ACGAGUUAAAAUGGAGAUCUUGUUUCUAUAGAUUUUAUAUGUUUUUAUGUUACCUGAAGAUAAAAGCUUAUUUUUCACCUUCAUCGAUUUGAGUAAGCCCUUUCUUAUCUAGGGUUUUAAAAGCUGUUUUGUUUUACAUUUCGUUAUGGAUUUUAAUGGUGCAUAUGUUGAUUGAUUUAAAUCUUGUUAUGAAAGCUUGAAAAUGUUUCAAUAUCAUUACAUGUUUCCUCCAUAGAUAUCUUAUAUGCACUAGAUAGUGCAUCUAAUU
This is a non-coding RNA of Paramuricea clavata, 268 nucleotides long. The record is from the annotation of a GenBank genome assembly. Lineage: Eukaryota; Metazoa; Cnidaria; Anthozoa; Malacalcyonacea; Plexauridae.